GUCUCUAUACCCACUCCAACAUAACCCAAAACUCACAGAACCCCUAAAAAACGCGAUUGUUCUUCUUCUCCGAAUUUUGUUCAAAUCCGAGCGAGUGAAGCCCAAAUCCUAAUUCAUGCGUCCCUCCUUAUCUCAUCUCACCAUUUCUAACGAUUUCUGACACUAAAAAUGCUUCCUCCCUUCACUCUCUCAACUCAGAGAUUUAGCACGCGAUUGGAAGGUCCUAGAGACGAAUCGUUGGAUGAGGAUGAGUCAUUGGAUUGAAUUUGUUCAACCCUCCAUUCACUCUCUCAACUCAGAGAUUUAGCACGCGAUUGGAAGGUCCUAGAGACGAAUCGUUGGAUGAGGAUGAAUCGUUGGAUUGACUUCGUUCAAUCCAAGCCCUAUUUUCAUCAGGGGUUCGUUCUAUAAAGGACGGGAUCCGAUUUUGAGAAGGGGGUUUUUUUUGGAGAGAAGAAGAUCUGAAGGCAGAUUCAAGAGGAGUAAAAUUCUAGAGCUUAGUGUUCUUCACAUCUAUUAUUGCUUUUUUUCUUCAUUCGUAGUGUUAAUUCUAAAAAAACAUAUACAGAAAUGUUUAAAGUCCUGUGAAUCUAUUGUUGCUUGGUUCACUGUCCACCCGCUUCGAAAUACAUGAAUUAUGUCCUAAAAGUCAUUGGAAUUCGUUGUUGAUCGAGGCAUUGAUUUGUGGCUGCUGUUGCAUUGCAUCGAUUUCAAGUGUUGGGACUCCUUCACUUUUUUUUCAGGUUUACCUCUGCUUCUUCUAUUAUUUCUAUUGUGAAGUGAAUCCUAGAUGGCCCUGGACCGAUUGUUAAAAUGAAUUCAGUUGUGAUAAUAGAUGAGGCUUGUAUGGUUACCCUCGACUUCAUUUAUUGUUAUGCUUUCAACGUUUCCCAUGAAUUCAUGUGUAGUGAGUCAGUUUCUGAAUAGACGAGGAGUAACAUUUGUUUGGUUUCAUCAUCGUAUUCGUGUUUGUACUGACUUGUAUUAUCCUUCAGCUCGUACCUUCUUCGAAUUUGAUCCCUACUGAUGUUGCAAAUUUGGUAUAAGAUUGUUUUAGUAUCAUCCUUCAGCUCAUACCUGCUUCGAAUUUGAUCCCCUGCUAAUGUUGUAAAUUGGGUAGAUUGUAGCUUUAUAGUGCCAAGGUUGUUUCCUGUUGCAUCUGUUCAAAAAUAAGCUUUGACGAGAAUUCAUCGCCGUUGUUUGAUUCCUGAAUGAGUGUCUAAGUCGUCUUUGAAAUGCUGAGAAUUGAACACCAUCUUAUAACCCCCUAUUCUAACUGUCACCACCUCAUAUCUUAUUUUCUCUUUGUUAAUUUUGGUUUCAGUCGAGAUAGGCUGUUUAUUUGACCAAAUAUCAGUGGUUUCUCGCUAGGCGAUGAUCAUUCCUUAAUAAUUUGAACUUGAAGCUGUCCUAAUCUACUUUGUUGAUGAAAAUUUAAGCACGCUUCCUCGAGCUGGUUCUGCCUGUGUAUGUGUAGUCUAUUUUUUGUGCUGGAAAUCAUUUGAAUCAUUAGCUAUUCGAUCUAUCGUCGCCUUAACUUCGUGACCCUGGUGUUAAGUUUGGUGUUUGUAAAGCUGUUAGCUAAUAUUAUUCUCUGAGUUUCUUCCUCUUCAGUCUUAAUGAAGCUGUCUCAUGGCAUUACUUGCUUGCCUGCUGUUGUAGCUGGUGAUUUAUUCAUCAAUUAUCAACCCUCUCCAUCCUUCUGCCAUAGAACACAUACAGUGCAACUCUCAUUCUGUUAGUAAAGCCCCAUCGUCACCAUCUUCCUUCAUUCUCUCAGCGUAAAUUCAUGAAUGUGCUACCAAUCAAAAUGGAUCAAAUUGUGUCUCCAAAUCUAAAUCUCAUUCGGAGUUGUUGUUGUUGGUAUAUCGUGAUUAUGAUUUGAAAAAUCCCCUUUAAUUGUGAAAUUUGAAGCAUAUGUAGCAAACAAGGGUCAUUUCUCUUCUCUUAGUAUAUUUUCUGACAUGAACAGCUAGUGUAACUGUCUUCAAUAAGUUCUGCAGAUUCGUUUGGAUUGCUAUGUUUUAUCUGAUAAAUUUGGUGUUCCUAAUGUGUUGACUGGCAAGGUUUGUGAUGGUUUUAAUAUUGUUCCACUGGUUCAUUUGGCAUUUAUUAGAAUUGUUUGACUAGUAUCAAAAGUAAGAUCCAAUGUUGCUAUCUCACUAUUGUUCUGGCUCUACAUUAGUUAUAGUGGAUUAAUGACUAGUUGGACUGUAUGCCCAGUUUGGACCAUAAAUAGUUUAAUAAUUUUCAAAUGAAUAGGUAGUUUGGAUCGCCUAAUUGGAUUUCGGAUUUAUUGGUAUAGCAUGAGCCAAAUAUUGGGCUCACUUGGUAAGAACCAAGUUAAUUCAAGACCCCACUUAAUUAAUUUUAACCCUUAUAAAUUGAGGUGAGCCAUAUUGGGUAAUAUAAAUAGUUUAUGGCCCUCAUGAAUUAGUUGAAUACCUUUACUUUUAGAAUUGAGGUGCGCCGUGCCAAACAAAAAAUAAUCAUUGCGGGGCCCUCGCUUUAUUAAAUCUCGAAUUGAUCUUUAGAUUCUGAGGCAUGCCAUUUGGUAAAUUUCAUGGGCCUCGCAAAGUUGCGAACGUACAAUUGCUUUAGGCGCGUUAGUUUAAUAAUCUACCUUUCCUAAAUUGGGGUGCGCAUUUAUGUGACCCAAAUACAAAUCUCAAUGAAGUUGGAGUGUGUCAAAAUCCAUGUGUGCAUUUAUGUGACUUGGUUUGAGGCAUAUUUUAACGACGUUGUAAUUCUCUUUAAAAUAAUGAUAAAAGCGGUUUAAAGUCAAAUGUCAUAAGUUAAAACAGUUUUAAAAUCAGAUAAUUUAAGCCAAGUAUGACAAUUGAGUGACCGAGCUAGAACCACGGAACUUGGGAAUGCCUAACACCUUCUCUCGGGUUAACAGAUUUUCUUACUCGGAUUUCUAGUUCGCGGGCUGUUAAACAUAGUCACUCUUUCCUCGAUUCGGGAUUCUAAUUGGUGACUCGGGACACCAUAAAUCUCCCGGGCGGCGACUCUGAAAUUAUUUAAAAUAAUUGAAUCCCGUUUCGAUUGUCCUUUAAUUGGAAAAACUUCCUUAUCUACGUCCUUCGCCGGGUUGUGGAUAUCCAAAAGAAGGUGUGACAGCUCUGGCGAUUCUGCUGGGAAAAUUUUUCCUCUAGAAUCUCUGGUUCAGGGUUCAAGAAUUCGAGCUUAGAAUCAUUGUUGUAUUUGGCUUUGUUCAUUAUUUGAUUUUACAUGUUGACUUAAUGUGCAAAAUGAUGCUUUAACCGCUUUGAUAUUAUUUGAAUUGUACAUAAACUGUUACGAAACCCUUCUCUCUUUAUCCCCGGGGAUGUGCUCGCUGGUCGAGACUCCCUAUUCUGUUAUUGUCAUGCCUUAAAAUAAGAAAGAUGCUCGGACAAGUUAUAAAGCCGGACGAUCUUGCGGGUCCCCGGUACGUAGCCCCCUCCCCGACUCAAGUUAUCCUCUCGGGUACACAGUCUAGAAAACAUACCCAGGCUUAAACGUAGAAUAACAAAACCUCAUGUCGGAUCCCUAGUAGGAACGCUUAUCUGCAUCAUACAUUUGACUUAGGGGACUCAACAUAAUGGUUAGGUCUGCUAGGACAGGUGUACCCAAAAUAACGGACCAUCUUGGUGCAUCAUAUGUGCCACAUGUUGCAUUCAUUCAAGGGCAGAAAGGUCAUUUGACGGACCAAUGAUAGCUGAGGGUAAAUGAAAAAAAAAAGAGAAAAAUAAUGAAAAGAAAAGAGGGUGAAGGGUGAAAAUAAAGCAAGCAGGAUUUAGUUAUGUUUUUGUUAUAUUUUUAUUAAAAAGGAGACAAAGGAUAUGUGAAAAAUUCAAAAAAAAAAGAGAAUAUUUCGCACUUUUUAUUAUUUCCUGAAAAUAAAAAAAGAAGAAGAGAAAAUCCAAAAAUAGUUUACAUAUUUCAUCGUUUUUCAAAAAGAGACAAAAGAAAAUAUUUUCUUUACAAAAUUAGUUGUUUUUUUAUUAUUUCUUGCCCGUAUCCAAUUUACCGGAACUACGCAAACCUGAUUCUCGUCUUUCGAGGCGUGAUACGUAGACAACCCACAUAAGGUUCGAUUUUCCUUGUAAAUCUUUGAUUCUUGGCUUUGCAGGGUCAUAACCAGAUUUUGCACUUCUAGCUACUUUUAGCUACAUAGGUUAGUUUUAGAAUUCAGAAGUUGCUUGUUGGAAGUUGUGUGAAUUGAGUUGUGUCAAUGGACUCUACUGUUGAAAUUCUUAGAGUUCAAGUUGGAAUUCUCUUGUCAAACAUCUUUUAUGCCGGCGAAAGUUCUGUUGAGAUCAGUCUUUGUUUGUUGGAGUAUUGUUUGGUAAUUUUAAUUCAAACUUCUUUUAUGCUGGCGAAGGUUCUGUUGAGAUCAGUCUUUGUUUGCUGGAGCAUUGUUUGGUGAUUUUAAUUCAAUCUAUGAACUUUUUGUGGGUCAAUUUUUGAAAGAAAAUCCUGCAUUAAAUACCAAUUCUUUUUGUGCUAAGACUAUGGAGUUUUGAAACUUGUCUUGUUGAAGUUUGCCAGUUUUGUGAAGUUUUUGGAGUAAAUUGAUAGAUGAAAUUCUCCUAGUUUGAACUUGUUACCACUGGUUUCUUAUAGCUGUUAUUAGUGUUGAGUUUAAUAGAGGAGAUUCAGUUGGACUAGAGAUUGAGCAGCUUGAAUUGUUAUUUGGUUGAGCAUACAGUAAGCUUACUCUGCCAAAAUUUUGUGUCCAUUGAGAUUGGUGUCAAGUUAAGGCAGUGAUAGUUUGAAAUCUUGUUUUUACUUAUAAAAAGUUCUCUUUGUUGAAUUGAAUGCUCUUGUUACAUAAACUAUUGCCCAGUUGGUUAGAACGUGCUGACAGAAGUUGUAUGUUUGCUGGAAAAUAAUUUGCUGCUUGUUUUCUGUUGCUGUAAAGGAAUUCAUACUUGCUGUUCACAGCCCUGCAUUGUUCAUUUUUCGCUCAACAAUGAAAAUUUCUGCACUUCAUUAAUUUUUUUGUUGUUGUAAAGGAUUUCAUACUUACUGUUCACAGCCCUCAUUGUUCAUUUUUGCUCAACAAUGAAGAUUUUCACAUUUCUUUAAUUGAUUGUUGUUACUAUAGUUUUUCUAAACAGUUGAGAGAAUUUUGCAAAAGUUUUAGCUUCAGUUAACUCAACUGCGUUGCUUCAGUUUAUAUGCCAACAAUACACUAUUGACAUUCAAGUUUUGAGCUGUUUUUUUAAAGUAGAUCCCGUACUAUUCAACUAUACUUUGUGGUUAUUCUAACUCAAUAUUACUGUGAUUCUAAUGCUUUGUGUCUACAGUUGAGGUCAUCAUUCCGGGCUGAAAAUUUUUGUUCCUAUUGCGAUCCCGUACUAUUCAGCUAUACUUUGUGGUUAUUCUGACUCAAUAUUACUGUGAUUCUAAUUAUUUGUUUCUACAGUUGAGGUCGUCAUUCUGGUCUGAAUGUUUCUGUGCCUAUUGUUGCUGAAUUUAAUGCUCAAGGUGUUGCUGAAGUUUGAGUUUUGAGAAGCAAUUGAAUAGCGAACCUGCGAGUUUAUUUGAAUUGUAGAAUUUUGCAUUUAAAUGAAAGUUGUUGAUGUAAUACAAGUUUCCUACGCAUUAUUUGUAUUUUUCUACAAUAUUUUAUAAACCUGAAACUGGGUGUGGACGUUAGAACUUGUUUGAAAAAUUUUGAACUCGAAUAAGAGUGUUUUGAACUGUUAUUGAAGGUUGUUGAAACAACCUUGAAAAUGUGCACUUUUUGUACUAGUUGGGUAGUGAGUGCAAGUUGAUUUUUCUGCACAGUUGAGUUCAGUUGAUUAUAAAUGUUUUGGUGAUUCAGUUAACAGGGAAUUAUAAGCUGAAAAAUAUUGCUUAAUGUUACUUUGUUUGUUGUUGCUAGUUUAGUUUGGUGUUAGUUGGUCCAACAGACUAUAAAUGUGAAUCUGUAGAGUUGUCUGUAGCACAAUUUUUUGCUUGGCUCUAAAUUUUAAUUACAUUUUGAGUUUGAUCCUGCAUAGUUGUUGAGUUUCAAUUAGCAGUCAAGUUACAAUUGUGUUAUUUGGAUUUUCACUCACUUUUUAUCAUGUAAAUAUAUUUAUUAAGUUUAAUCCCGAUAUUUUAGUCUUUGUUUCACUUUGUAGUUGGUUUAUUUAACAAAAUCUAAAAAAACUACAAAAAGAGUAGAGUUUCCAAAAUAUAGUUUUACCUAGUAUAUUGAUUUUUUUAGUUGUAGGCUUUAGGAAAUACUUAGUAAUAGUAUUAAUUAAUUUCUUUAAAUAUAGUUACUAUAUUUUUCAGUCUGAUUUUUGCUAUUUUAAUUUAGUAGUAUUUAAUCUUUAGUUUUGUUAAUUUGGAUUGUCCUUAAAACAAAUUAAAAAUGAUGAAAAAGAAGAAGAGAAAGUAGAAAGUAAGGAAUGAAAAGAAAAAGAUUCGUUUUUUUGGGAUUACUAUUUUUUAGGUGAUUUGUUGUGGUUUGCAAAUGUUUAUGGAAAUUACUUAAAAUGCAUUAAGGCUGCAACUUUGUCAGCUAUUGUGAGGCUGUCCAAAAUUGCAGAAUUGACCAAUUUUUGCAUAUGUGACCAUCUUUUACAUAUAAUUUGGUCGUCAAGUAGUAGCUUUUUUUUUAAAUCGAGGUCAAGAGUUAGAUAAAGCUGGAUUUGUAUCUUUGUUGCUUAGUAUCAGAUGGUUUUGGUGGCAUUGAAAUGGUUUCAAGUUGAUUUUCAAAAAAAACGAAGAGAAAAUGUUUUUUUGUUUGUUAGAGCUUUCAUGGUUUGUGUUGUAUAAAAAUAAACAAAAAUGAGUUAGUUUAUUUGCUCCAUUCUCGAUCUUCCAGAACUAUGCAAAGAUCUGAUUCAUGCGGGGUCAUGAUACGUAGGCAACCUACAUAGGGUUCGAUCAAAUCAUUUUGUUUUAUAAAAAAAGAGAGAUAAGGAUAAAAAUAAAAAUAAUUACAUAGGGUUCGAUCGAACCGUUUUGUUUUAUAUAAAAAAGGAGAUAAAGAUAAAAAUCGACUAAAAAAGAGAGAAAGGAAAAGAGAAAAAAAGAAAAAGGGUGUAAUUAUAGGACAUGAAAAUUAGAGGAAAAAAAGAGAGUGAUAAAUAGAAAAAGAGGACGGAAAAUAAUAAAGCAAGUGCUAGAAAAGCAAAGAAAGAGAGAGGUUGAAAUGAACAAAUUGGGAUGAUGUCGUAUGACCUUCAUACCCUCGAAGUCAUGUUAGAACCGGUAACUGUGACUAGGUGCAUUGCACGCAAUGCGAUAUUUUAGUUGUUUAAUGCCCUAACGCUAACAUGAUGGCUUCAUUUUUUAUACUCAUAGCAAAAGGGUGUACGCAAUGUGAUAUUUUAGUUGUUUAAUGCCCUAACGCUAACAUGAUGGCUUCAUUUUUUAUACUCAUAGCAGAAGGGUGGUUGGUUUGUGGUUUUUAAAGUAGUAACUCUCCUCCAUAACACAAAGUCAAAGGCAACGGCGGACAACGAUAGAACUGAGUUGGUCGAUACCGGGGCCCGAAAGCAGUUGAUUGACCAGGACAAUGGGUUAAUUGAAGAGGUAAAGAUGCUGAAACAACACAUGGAAGAAAUGUAUAAGGCUUGGAUGACGGGGACAACACCACCCCUGCCACCACCCAGCUGCUUAGAUGCUACCCUUCUCCAGACUCCGAUCAUGGUUUCGAACGAUCCUCCAUACUCUCUAGAUGCACCCGCUCACUACAGUUUUUCCAACCACCCAGUAGCUCCAUCACUUGCCCUCCAACUAUCCCCAACAAUGAAUAUUUACUCAGAGCUCACGAUAUCCAAUACUAUCCUAUAGAGGUGGCCCACAAGGUUCCUUACUCGUACAAGCAAAGCCUGCAGGAUGAGCCUUAUGUUAAGAAUGAAAAGUUCACAGGAAAAGAAGGGCGAAAUGGAAUACCCUAGAGGCUGGAAGGGUUCAACGUGCCAAAAUUUAACUUGUAUGAUGGGUGUGGAGAUCCGGUAGCUCGCCUGAGGGUUUAUUGCAGUGAAAUAAGAGGCGUUGGGGAGAAAGAUAACCUGUUGAUAGCAUAUUUUAGCAAGAGCCUGACUGGGGCAGGAUUGGACUAGUAUACUCGUCAAGAUGUCGAUAAAUGGCCUACAUUGGGUGACAUGGCGCAAUAUUUUGUUCGAUACUUUCAAUGCAAAUCCAAUGUUACCCCAGACCGCGCUUCCAUAUAUAAAAUGAAAAAGAAGCCAUAUGAGAGCUUUAAGGAGUUUGGGCUCAGAUGGAGGGCACAAGCUGCUCAAGUCAGUACCUCGAUUGGUGAAAAGGAAAUGGUAGAGCUUUUCCUACAAGCCCAGGAGCCCACCUACUUCGGUAAUUUGAUCCAGGCUUUUGGAAAAUAUUUCAAUGAGGUGUUAAAAAUGGGGGAGCAAAUAGAAGAGAGAAUCAAGUCAGGAAAAAUCAUGAGUGGUUCGAAAGAUAUUCAGAAUAUCCAAGUAAGCUUCGUCGGAAGAAAUAGAAAUAGAAAAGAUGAUCAACAUUCCCAGCCUCAACAUCAUCCUCGUGGACAUCCUUGUGUACCGAAUAGUCCUCCAUAACGCUGCUUCUCCCCACAGAACUCAAAAAAUCAUACAUCACUUUCCCCAUACCCAGCUCUACAGAAUGCUUAUCCACCCCCAUGAGCAUACCGAAAACCUCUUGGAUCAGGUUUCCAGCCCAGCCAAGCAUGUAAGAAUGAGAGACUAUUGAAAAAAGAAAAGGCUUUCACCCCUAUCGGAGUAUCAUAUGCCAGUUUGUUCCAAAGGUUGAAGCAAUUGGACAUGUUGAAGCCGACUCAGAUAAAAAUGCCAAACCCUCUGUCAAAGAAGUUUGAUGUUUCUCAAAGGUGUGCAUAUUGCUUAGAUUCCCCGGGGCAUGACACAAGAAGUUUUAUGUUUCCCAUAGGUGCACGUAUUGCUCAUAUGCCCAGGGACAGUACAUAGAGAAGUGCUGGAGUCUAAAAAAUAGCAAUUCACAAGCUUAUUGAUGCAGGUGACAUUGCCGUGCAAAAUCCGGACGCAGCAGACACUAGCAAAAGUCCAUCGCAUGUGCGUAAUGAGAUGCACAUGCUGGAAUAUGAGAAUUCUUUCGAGAGCCCCGGAGGCACGAGUGCUGCUAAGCUUUCAGCCCUAUCAAAUGUUGAUCUUCAGAACGAGCCGGCGAAAGGAAUCCAAAAGCAAUCUCCUAAGAACACUAUGACGAAGGUUUGUGAAGUGCCUAAUGUUAUUGACGUGGAACCUAAUGGCUAAUAUGUCGUGAGGAGUAAUUGGGAAGACACUCCAUUUCUUAGUCAGCUAGAGAGGAGUUUUGAUGGUUUAUUUUGUUGUCAGGGUUAUUUUCAGGGUUGUAAUCUGGAUAUUGUCUUGUGAUUCAAAUCCUUCUAUCCUAUCAUUUUUCUCAGUUUUGUUUAGUGUCGUCUAGGUUCGUUCCAGGGUUUUAACCCCAAUCUUUUUACUUGUUUGUUGUCCAAGAUCUUUCACCAUCUGUCUAACACAACUUUCUACUUUCCGUUAUUUCUAUUCAUUUGGUUUAGUUUUCUUUUCUUUUUACUAUUCUUUCCAUGUUGGCUUUAAUGACAUGAAAUGCAUGCAUAUCCACAGGCCUGGUCUUAAAAGAUUACUCAUAAAGCAAUAGAGACACUUGAGAGAAAUAAGAAUAGAUUUGGACCCUUUGAGAUCUUUCGAAGCCCGAACCACGUGAAACAUGGGCAGACAGAACAUGAAGAAAUCCUGAAAUCAAGUUUACCAAACCGGCAGGGACCAUUCAUUGUAGCUGGAGUGUUGUCCAAUGGUGCAUUAUAUUUGACAGACGAGGAAGGAAAAUGUGUAGGAAUGGCUAUCAAUUCUGACAUAGUCGUGAGAUACUAUGUAUGAUUCCGUUUACUGAUUGUACUUGCUUGUCUUGGCAUAUUUUGAAAAUUGAAAUGGCGAAGAAAUUUUAUUCUGCUAUCUUAAUACUCUAUCCCUUGCUAACCUCUUUGAGCUUUAGUUAUUUCCUUUCACACCCCUCUUUCGGAAUCAGUAACAAAAGUCAGAAACGCAAGUGUGAGAAGGCAGUAAAACGAAAGUAAAGGAAAGAACGAAAAAAGAAAAAGGAAAAAAGAAAAAAAAGAAAAAGAGAAAAAGGAAAAAAAAGAAAAAAAAGAGAAAAAAGAAAAGAGAAAAGAGAAAAGGAAAAAGAAACAAAGAAAAAGAAAACAAAACAAAGAAAAAAGAGAGAAGAAAACAGAAAAAGGGAGAAGAAAAACAACAAAAACAAGGAAUCGGUAUGUAACUACGUUUGACCUGAUUCCUUUUAAGGAUACGUGGGCAACCUCACGGUUCGGUCUCAUUAAAAUAAAAAUCCAAAAGUCCCCAAGCAAGAAAUUGGGGGUAGAAGUUGUGGUUCUUGUAAGAAUUUGAUUCCGAAAGUUGUAGUUUUGAACCCAUUUAAAUUGUUUUGAGCCUUUGAUACCCUUUAUUUCUAACCCUAGCCAAAAUCCCACGUUACGGUCCAAAGAAAGACCUUCUGAUCAGUCUUCAAUAGAUGCCAAGUUGAGCAAGUAGAGGUGAUUCAUGUCAAGGGCAACACUUCGAUCCAAUCAGGAAAGAUAAUAAAAAUGAGUAAGUCUUAUUGGUGAAAACCCUCAUGGGCAUCGUAAGGCGACGGGAGCUGAGAGAAAUAAAAAUGAGAGAGUCUUAUUGGUGGAAAUCUGCAUGGGCACCUUGAGGCGACUUUAAGGCGACGGGAGUUGAGAGAAAUAAAAAUGAGAGAGUCUUAUUGGUGGAAAUCUGCAUGGGCACCUUGAGGCGACUGUAAGUCAAGAGAAAGAACAAAGUAAGAGAUGUUUAAUGGUGAAAACCAUUUGGGUGCUACAAGUCAAAUAAGGAUUGUGAAUCAGAUUGGAUAAUCCGAGCACUGAAGCCCAGCUUCACGGUCUGGGGGUAUAACAAGAGUUGAACAUCACAUUUGCUUAACAGAAUAGGCCGUAGGUGCAUGUCAUGGUCAUUAGAGUUGGUACCCGCAUUUUAUAGGUUUCUGCUUUUUAGUUUUUUGGUUAGGAAUCAUCUCCUUUCAUUGUCCUCUACUUUGUUCUUUUUGUCUUGUUUAUUCCCUCCUUUUGAGUCUGUUGGGUCAAAACAAGUGAGAAAUAACUACAAAAUCUGCCACCAACUUUCUAAUUGCACAAAACAGGAUCUGGUUAUCACAUCCAAGUGUCAUAAGUUAGAAAAACAUCAUCAAAAUCUUCUACCAACUUUCUAAUUGCACAAAACGGGAUCUAGUUAUCACAUCCAAGUGUCAUAAGUUAGAAAAACAGCAAGCACACUAGCGGGUAACAUUCAACAUGCUUCAGGAUUCGUUUGAAAUACAAAGGCUUGGUAUAUAUCAAUUCAUGGACAAUGAAAUAGAAUGAGGGAUAGGGUGAACGGAGCAAAAGUGCUCCAAGAAGAAAUUGAAGUUAUCAUGGCUAGCGAUGGAAUAGUAGACCUUAAGGUCAGAGCUAGUGAUUUGAGUCAGGAAAGAACGUCAGAUACAAUGUGGUUGGUAAUUAUGCUUUAGGGAUCAAGUGAAACACAAGGGCUUGGCAGAUGUCGGUUCAGGAACAAUGCAACAGAUGGAAGGUAUUGGGUUCGAACGAGAAUAGGUAUUUUCUGGGUUAAGUUUAACAAACAAAGCACUUGGUCAAGGGGCAAAUAUGGUCUUUAAAUGAAAAUAAAUCACCAUGGCAAGUGAAGGAGCAACAGACCUCAAGGUCAAGGCCAGUGGUUCAAGUCAAUAAAAAAACAGAAUACACAUGGAGUGGGGGCAAGGGACGUGCUUUAGGAUUCAUGUGGGAAACAAAGGCUGGGAAGAUGUCAGUUCAUCAGCAAUGCAACAAAUAGAGGAUAUUGGGUCUGAACGGAGAAGAGGUAUUUUCUGUGAUAAGGGUGACAGAGGAGUUGGUCAGCUAAUAAGCAAGCCAUGUCUUUUAAGAUGAAAUCAAGCCUGCCAUGGCAAGUGAAAAAACGCAACACGAGAAUGGGGAAGGCCGCAAGGGUCAGCCAAGCAUCGUAAACUGGCCAGGUAACCUCAGGAAAGGAUGUAAGAAUUUUAUCAAAGGGUCGCAAUGCAACACAAAGAUGAGAAGCAGAGUGAAGGUACAUAGGUCAGAGGGUCAGCCAAGCAUAAUAUAUUGACUUGGCAAUCACGAGAAAGGUGCAAGGAUUCUGGCAAAAGGGCUAGAAAUGUAACACAAUUAUGGGGAGCAAAGUAAAGUCGUAAAGGUUAGAGGGGUCAGCCAACCAACACAAUUUGGUCAACUUUGGAACUAUGAUCGUACUUAGCAUAAAUCACCUCCCAAACUAUUACUUUUCAACCAAAUGGUUCAUCGAUAUCCAAUAUAUCUCUAAAACUCUGGGCAUUGUUUCGAUUGUUAGACGCUUAGCCAAAAAUGCUUCAUCCCAUAUUAUCACCUUUGUUUUCCUUAUAAAUUUAGUACCACUGCUUUCUUUGAUAUAUCAGUGAUGGUUAUUAAGUUAUUUGAAGAGGUGUAUCAAAUCUAGAGUGAGUUGUACGACCUCAUGAUAAAAUCGUUAUUGGUACAUCACUUGUUCUUAUUUCUAACAAUAUCAUGUCUCUUGAUCUCACAUGUGCAAGUAAUGCAUGACAUACGAAUAUAAUUUCGAUUCCGCCGGAAGAAUAUACAAAUGAUAAUUCCACUAUACCAGAGUCAAUUUUUUAUAAUAUAGUUGUGAGCAUGCGAUUUUUGCCUAUACGAAUUACUCCCAUAAAUUCAAAACGAAAUAAUUUUGUUUGUUUAUUUGCAAUUUUAAUUUUUCGUGGCAUUAUUCUGUUAAUGGUUUGAAUUUUGUGCAUAACGAAAAUACAAAAAUACAUAAGGCAUGUGCACUUAGGAGUAAUUUUACAUUUUUAAAGAAAUUAAUUAGCAAUUGGGAAAGGAAAUUCAAAACUUAAUUUGCACUUAAGAUCGAUUUCAGGUAAUUCUUUUUCUCUUAAUAUUUUUUAUUAUUUAUUAUGUGAUAACAAUUAUUGUAUGACUAACUAGGUUAUUUUUAGGUUAUUAGGAAUUUUUAGGUUUUAAAUAAUUUUAAAAAAAUAAAAAAAGGAGAGAAAAUCUGGAACUAAAUAAAAAGGACCUAAUUGGCCCAUAUGCACAAUUAAAUCAGCCCAAGCCCUUUUCUCCUUCUAAAUCCGCCAUACCCACACCAAAUGACCCGACCUGACCCUGUCUCUAUACCCACUCCAACAUAACCCAAAACUCACAGAACCCCUAAAAAACGCGACUGUUCUUCUUUUCCGAAGAACACGUGAAUCUAUCCCCAAAUUUUGUUCAAAUCCGAGCGAGUGAAGCCCAAAUCCUAAUUCAUGCGUCCCUCCUUAUCUCAUCUCACCAUUUCUAACGAUUUCUGACACUAAAAAUGCUUCCUCCCUUCACUCUCUCAACUCAGAGAUUUAGCACGCGAUUGGAAGGUCCUAGAGACGAAUCGUUGGAUGAGGAUGAGUCAUUGGAUUGAAUUUGUUCAAUCCAAGCCCCAUUUUCAUCAGGGGUUCAUCUCUAUAAAGGACGGGAUCCGAUUUUGAGAAGGGGGUCGUUUUUGGAGAGGAGAGGAUGUUUUCAUCAGGGGUUCGUUCUAUAAAGGACGGGGUCCAAUUUUUAGAAGGGGGUUUUUUUUGGAGAGAAGAGGAUCUGAAGGCAGAUUCAAGAGGAGUAAAAUUCUAGAGCUUAGUGUUCUUCACAUCUAUUAUUGCUUUUUUUCUUCAUUCGUAGUGUUAAUUCUAAAAAAACAUAUACAGAAAUGUUUAAAGUCCUGUGAAUCUAUUGUUGCUUGGUUCACUGUCCACCCGCUUCGAAAUAAAUGAAUUACGUCCUCAAAGUCAUUGGAAUUCGUUGUUGAUCGAGGCAUCGAUUUGUGGCUGCUGUUGCAUUGCAUCGAUUUCAAGUGUUGGGACUCCUUCACUUUUUUUCAGGUUUACCUCCGCUUCUUCUAUUAUUUCUAUUGUGAAGUGAAACCUGGAUGGCCCUGGACGGAUUGUUAAAAUGAAUUCAGUUGUGAUAAUAGAUGAGGCUUGUAUGGUUACCCUCGACUUCAUUUAUUGUUAUGCUUUCAACGUUUCCCAUGAAUUCAUGUGUAGUGAGUCAGUUUCUGAAUAGACGAGGAGUAACAUUUGUUUGGUUUCAUCAUCGUAUUCGUGUUUGUACUGACUUGUAUUAUCCUUCAGCUCGUACCUUCUUCGAAUUUGAUCCCUACUGAUGUUGCAAAUUUGGUAGAUUGUAGUUGUAUGGAAGAUUGUUUUAAUAUCAUCCUUCAGCUCAUACCUGCUUCGAAUUUGAUCCCCUGCUAAUGUUGCAAAUUGGGUAGAUUGUAGCUUUAUAGUGUCAAGGUUGUUUCCUGUUGCAUCUGUUCGAAAAUAAGCUUUGACGAGCAUUCAUCGCCGUUGUUUGAUUCCUGAAUGAGUGUCUAAGUCGUCUUUGAAAUGCUGAGAAUUGAACACCAUCUUAUAACCCCCUAUUCUAACUGUCACCACCUCAUAUCUUAUUUUCUCUUUGUUAAUUUUGGUUUUUAGUCGAGAUAGGCUGUUUAUUUGACCAAAUAUCAGUGGUUUCUCGCUAGGCGAUGAUCAUUCCUUAAUAAUUUGAACUUGAAGCUGUCCUAGUCUUCUUUGUUGACGAAAUUUUAAGCACGCUUCCUCGAGCUGGUUCUGCCUGUGUAUGUGUAAUCUAUUUUUUGUGCUGGAAAUCGUUUGAAUCAUUAGCUAUUCGAUCUAUCGUCGCCUUAACUUCGUGACGCUGGUGUUAAGUUUGGUGUUUGUAAAGCUGUUAGCUAAUAUUAUUCUCUGAGUUUCGUCCUCUUCAGUCUUAAUGAAGCUGUCUCAUGGCAUUACUUGCUUGCCUGCUGUUGUAGCUGGUGAUUUAUUCAUCAAUUAUCAACCCUCUCCAUCCUUCUGCCAUAGAACACAUACAGUGCAACUCUCAUUCUGUUAGUAAAGCCCCAUCGUCACCAUCUUCCUUCAUUCUCUCAGCGUAAAUUCAUGAAUGUGCUACCAAUCAAAAUGGAUCAAAUUGUGUCUCCAAAUCUAAAUCUCAUUCGGAGUUGUUGUUGUUGGUAUAUCGUGAUUAUGAUUUGAAAAAUCCCCUUUAAUUGUGAAAUUUGAAGCAUAUGUAGCAAACAAGGGUCAUUUCUCUUCUCUUAGUAUAUUUUCUGACAUGAACAGCUAGUGUAGCUGUCCUCAAUAAUUUCUACAGAUUCGUUUGGAUUGCUAUGUUUUAUCUGAUAAAUUUGGUGUUCCUAAUGUGUUGAUUGGAAAGGUUUGUGAUGGUUUUAAUAUUGUUCUCCACCGGUUCAUUUGGCAUUUAUGUUCUGCAGAUUCGUUUGGAUUGCUAUAUUUUAUCUAAUAAAUUUGGUGGUCUUAAUGUGUUGAUUGGCAAGGUUUGUGAUGGUUUUAAUAUUGUUCUCCACUGGUUCAUUUGGCAUUUAUUGGAAUUGUUUGACUAGUAUCAAAAGUAAGAUCCAAUGUUGCUAUCUCACCAUUGUUCUGGCUCUACAUUAGUUAUUAGUUAUAAUGGAUUAAUGACUGGUUGGACUGUAUGCCCAGUUUGGACCAUAAAUAAUUUAAUAAUUUUCAAAUGAAUAGGUAGUUUGGAUCGCCUAAUUGGAUUUCGGAUUUAUUGUUAUAGCAUGAGCCAAAUAUUGGGCUCACUUGGUAAGAACCAAGUUAAUUCAAGACCCCACUUAAUUAAUUUUAACCCUUAUAAAUUGAGGUGAGCCAUAUUGGGUAAUAUAAAUAGUUUAUGGCCCUCAUGAAUUAGUUGAAUACCUUUACUUUUAGAAUUGAGGUGCGCCGUGCCAAACAAAAAAUAAUCAUUGCGGGGCCCUCGCUUUAUUAAAUCUCGAAUUGAUCUUUAGAUUCUGAGGCAUGCCAUUUGGUAAAUUUCAUGGGAUCAUUGCUGGGCCCUCGCUUUAUUAAAUCUCGAAUUGAUCUUUAGAUUCUGAGGCAUGUCAUUUAGUAAAUUUCAUGGGCCUCGCAAAGUUGCGAAUGUACAAUUGCUUUAGGCGUGUUAGUUUAAUAAUCUACCUUUCCUAAAUUUGGGUGCGCAUUUAUGUGACCCAAAUACAAAUCUCAAUGAAGUUGGAGUGUGUCAAAAUCCAUGGGUGCAUUUAUGUGACUUGGUUCGAGGCAUAUUUUAACGACAUUGUAAUUCUCUUUAAAAAUAAUGAUAAAAGCGGUUUAAAGUCAAAUGUCAUAAGUUAAAACAUGUUUUAAAAUCAGAUAAUUUAAGCCAAAUAUGACAAUUGAGUGACCGAGCUAGAACCACGGAACUUGGGAAUGCCUAACACCUUCUCUCGGGUUAACAUAAUUUCUUACUCGGAUUUCUAAUUUGCGGAAUGUUAAACAUAGUCAUUCUUUCCUCGAUUCGGGAUUCUAACCGGUGACUCGGGACACCAUAAAUCUCCCGGGCGGCGACUCUGAAAUUAUUUAAAAUAAUUGAAUCCCGUUUCGAUUGUCCUUUAAUUGGAAAAACUCCCUUAUCUACGUCCUUCGCCGGGUUGUGGAUAUCCAAAAGAAGGUGUGACAGCUCUGGCGAUUCUGCUGGGAAAAUUUUUCCUCUAGAAUCUCUGGUUCAGGGUUCAAGAAUUCGAGCUUAGAAUCAUUGUUGUAUUUGGCUUUGUUCAUUAUUUGAUUUUACAUGUUGACUUAAUGUGCAAAAUGAUGCUUUAACCGCUUUGAUAUUAUUUGAAUUGUACAUAAACUGUUAUGAAACCCUUCUCUCUUUAUCCUCGGGGAUGUUCUCGCUGGUCGAGACUCCCUAUUCUGUUAUUGUCAUGCCAUAAAAUAAGAAAGAUGCUCGGACAAGUUACAAAGCCGGACGAUCUUGUGGGUCCCUGGUACGUAGCCCCCUCCCCGACUCAAGUAUCCUCUCGGGUACACAGUCUAGAAAACAUACCCAGGCUUAAACUUAGAAUAACAAAACCUCAUGUCGGAUCCCUAGUAGGAACGCUUAUCUGCAUCAUACAUUUGACUUAGGGGACUCAACACAAUGGUUAGGUCCGUUAGGACAGGUGUACCCAAAAUAACGGACCAUCUUGAUGCAUCAUAUGUGCCACAUGUCGCAUUCAUUCAAGGGCAGAAAGGUCAUAUGACGGACCAAUGAUAGCUGAGGGUAAAUGAAAAAAAAGAGAAAAAUAAUGAAAAGAAAAGAGGGUGAAGGGUGAAAAUAAAGCAAGUAGGAUUUAGUUAUGUUUUUGUUNNNNNNNNNNNNNNNNNNNNNNNNNNNNNNNNNNNNNNNNNNNNNNNNNNNNNNNNNNNNNNNNNNNNNNNNNNNNNNNNNNNNAAAAAAAGACAAAGGAUAUUUGAAAAAUUCAAAAAAAAAAAAAAGAAUAUUUCGCACUUCUUAUUAUUCCCUGAAAAUCAAAAAAGAAGAAGAGAAAAUCCAAAAAUAGUUUACAUAUUUCAUCGUUUUUCAAAAAGAGACAAAAGAAAAUGUUUUCUUUACAAAAUUAGCUGUUUUUUUUAUUAUUUCUUGCCCGUAUCCAAUUUACCCGAACUACGCAAACCUGAUUCUCGUCUUUCAGGGCUUGAUACGUAGCCAACCCACAUAAGGUUCGGUUUUCCUUGUAAAUCUUUGAUUCUUGGCUUUGCGGGAUCAUAGCCAGAUUUUGCACUUCUAGCUACUUUUAGCCACAUAGGUUAGUUUUAAAAUUCAGAAGUUGCUUGUUGGAAGUUGUGUGAAUUAAGUUGUGUCAAUGGACUCUACUGUUGAAAUUCUUAGAGUUCAAGUUGGAAUUCUCUUGUCAAACAUCUUUUAUGCUGGCGAAAGUUCUGUUGAGAUCAGUCUUUGUUUGUUGGAGUAUUGUUUGGUAAUUUUAAUUCAAUCUAUGAAUUUUCCUUGGGACAAUAUUUGAAAGAAAAUCUUGCAUUAAAUACCAAUUAUCUUUGUGCUAAGACUGUGGAGUUUUGAAGCUUUUCUUGUUGAAGUUUGCCACUUUUGUGAAGUUCUCCAAUCAAUUUCUUGUUAAAUUGAUAGCUGAAAUUCUCCUAGUUUAAACUUGUUAACACUGGUUUCUAAUAGCUGUUAUUAUUGUUGAGUUUAAUAGAGGAGAUUCAGUUGGACAAGAGAUUGAGUAGCUUGAAUUGUUAUUUGGUUGAGCAUACAGUAAGCUUACUCUGCCGAAAUUUUGUGUCCAUUGAGAUUUGUGUCAAGCAGUGAUAGUUUGAAAUCUUGUUUUUACUUAUAAAAAGUUCUCUUUGUUGAAUUGAAUGUUCUUGUUACAUAAACUAUUGCCCAGUUGGUUAGAACCUGCUGACAGAAGUUGCAUGUUUGCUGGAAAAUAAUUUGGUGCUUGUUUUCUUUUGCUGUAAAGGAUUUCAUACUUGCUAUUCACAGCCUUGCAUUGUUCAUUUUUCGCUCAACAAAUUUUUUGUUGUUGUAAAGGAUUUCAUACUUACUGUUCACAGCCCUCAUUGUUCAUUUUGCUCAACAAUGAAGAUUUCCACAUUUCUUUAAUUGAUUGUUGUUACUAUAGUUUUUCUAAACAGUUGAGGGAAUUUUGCAAAAGUUUUAGCUUCAGUUAACUCAACUGUGUUGCUUCAGUUUAUAUGUCAACAAUACACUAUCGAAAUUCAAAUUUUGAGCUUUUUUUUAAAAAAAGUAGCUUCCGCACUAUUCAGCUGUACAUUCAGGUUAUUCUGACUCAAUAUUGUUAUGAUUCUAAUUCUUUGUUUCUACAAUUGAGGUCGUCAUUCUAGGCUGAAAAUUUCUGUGCCUAUUGCUGCUGAAUUUAAUGAUCAAGGUAUUGCUAAUGUUUGAGUUUUGAGAAGCAAUUGAAUAACGAACCUGCCAGCUUGUUUGAGUUCUAGAAUUUUGCAUUUAAAUGAAAGUUGUUGAUAUAAUACAAGUUCCCUAAGCAUUAUGUAGAAUUUUGCAUUUAAAUGAAAGUUAUUGAUGUAAUACAAGUUUCCUAAGCAUUAUUUGUAUUUCUCUACAACAUUUUGUAAACCUAAAACUGGGUGUGGACAUUAGAACUUGCUUGAAAAAUUUUGAACUCGAAUAAGAGUGUUUUGAACUGUUAUUGAAGGUUGUUGAAACAACCUUGAAAAUUUGCACUUUUUGUACUAGUUGUGUAGUGAGUGCAAGUUGAUUUUUCUGCACAGUUGAGUUCAGUUGAUUACAAAUGUUUUAGUGAUUCAGUUAACAGGGAAUUAUAAGCUGAAAAAUAUUGCUUAAUGUUACUUUGUUUGUUGCUGCUAGUUUAGUUUGGUGUUAGUUGGUCCAACAGGCUAUAAAUGUGAAUCUGUAGAGUUGUCUGUAGCAUAUUUUUUUGCUUGGUUCUAAGUUUUAACUAGAUUUUGAGUUUUAUCCUGCACAGUUGCUGAGUUUCAAUUACCAGUCAAGUUUCAAUCGUACUAUUUAAGUUUUCACUCACUUUUUAGCAUAAAAUUGUAUUUAUUAAGUUUAAUCUCGAUAUUUUAGUCUAUAUUUCACCAUCCUGCAUAGUUGUUGAGUUUCAAUUAGCAGUCAAGUUACAAUCGUGUUAUUUGGAUUUUCACUACGUUUUAUCAUGUAAAUAUAUUUAUUAAGUUUAAUCCCGAUAUUUUAGUCUUUGUUUCACUUUGUAGUUGGUUUAUUUAACAAAAUCUAAAAAAACUACAAAAAGAGUAGAGUUUCCAAAAUAUAGUUUUACCUAGUAUAUUGAUUUUUUUAGUUGUAGGCUUUAGGAAAUACUUAGUAAUAGUAUUAAUUAAUUUCUUUAAAUAUAGUUACUAUAUUUUUCAGUCUGAUUUUUGCUAUUUUAAUUUAGUAGUAUUUAAUCUUUAGUUUUAUUAAUUUGGAUUGUCCUUAAAACAAAUUAAAAAUAAUGAAAAAGAAGAAGAGAAAGUAGAAAGUAAGGAAUGAAAAGAAAAAGAUUCGUUUUUUUGGGAUUACUACUUUUUAGGUGAUUUGUUGUGGUUUGCAAAUAUUUAUGGAAAUUACUUAAAAUGCAUUAAGGCUGCAACUUUGUCAGCUAUUGUGAGGCUGUCCAAAAUUGCAAAAUUGAUCAAUUUUUGCAUAUGUGACCAUCUUUUACAUAUAAUUUGGUCAUCGGGUAGUAGCUUUUUUUUUUUAAAACGAGGUCAAGAGUUAGAUAAAGCUGGAUUUGUAUCUUUGUUGCUUAGUAUCAGAUGGUUUUGGUGGCAUUGAAAUGGUUUCAAGUUGAUUUUCAAAAAAAACGAAGAGAAAAUGUUUUUUUGUUUGUUAGAGCUUUCAUGGUUUGUGUUGUAUAAAAAUAAACAAAAAUGAGUUAGUUUAUUUGCUCCAUUCUCGAUCUUCCAGAACUAUGCAAAGAUCUGAUUCAUGCGGGGUCAUGAUACGUAGGCAACCUACAUAGGGUUCGAUCAAAUCAUUUUGUUUUAUAAAAAAAGAGAGAUAAGGAUAAAAAUACUACAUAGGGUUCGAUCGAACCGUUUUGUUUUAUAUAAAAAAGGAGAUAAAGAUAAAAAUAGACUAAAAAAGAGAGAAAGGAAAAGAGAAAAAAAGAAAAAGGGUGUAAUUAUAGGACAUGAAAAUUAGAGGAAAAAAGAGAGUGAUAAAUAGAAAAAGAGGACGGAAAAUGAUCAAGCAAGUGCCAGAAAAGCAAAGAAAGAGAGAGGUUGAAAUGAACAAAUUGGGAUGAUGUCGUAUGACCUUCAUACCCUCGAAGUCAUGUUAGAACCGGUAACUGUGACUAGGUGCAUUGCACGCAAUGCGAUAUUUUAGUUGUUUAAUGCCCUAACGCUAACAUGAUGGCUUCAUUUUUUAUACUCAUAGCAAAAGGGUGGUUGGUUUGUGGUUUUUAAAGUAGUAAGUCUCCUCCAUAACACAAAGUCAAAGGCAAUGGCGGACAACGAUAGAUUGAGUUGGUCGAUACCGGGGUCCGAAAGCAGUUGAUUGACCAGGACAAUGGGUUAAUUGAAGAGGUAAAGAUGCUGAAACAACACAUGGAAGAAAUGUAUAAGGCUUGGAUAACGGGGACAACACCACCCCCGCCACCACCCAGCUGCUUAGAUGUUAUCCUUCUCCAGACUCCGAUCAUGGUUUCGAACGAUCCUCCAUACUCUCUAGAUGCACCCGCUUUUUACAGUUUUUCCAACCACCCAGUAGCUCCAUCACUUGCCCUCCAACUAUCCCCAACAAUGAAUAUUUACUCAGAGCUCACGAUAUCCAAUACUAUCCUAUAGAGGUGGCCCACAAGGUUCCUUACUCGUACAAGCAGAGCCUGCAGGAUAAGCCUCAUGUUGAGAAUGAAAAGUUCACAGGAAAAGAAGGGCGGAAUGGAAUACCCCAGAGGCUGGAAGGGUUCAACGUGCCAAAAUUUAACUUGUACGAUAGGUGUGGAGAUCCGGUAGCCCACCUGAGGAUUUAUUGCGGUGAAAUGAGAGGCAUUGGAGAGAGAGAGAGAUGACCUGUUGAUAGCAUAUUUCAGCAAAAGCUUGACUGGGGCAGCUUUGGAUUGGUAUACUCGUCAAGAUAUCGAUAAAUGGCCUACGAAAUAAGAGGCGUUGGGGAGAAAGAUAACCUGUUGAUAACAUAUUUUAGCAAGAGCCUGACUGGGGCAGGAUUGGACUAGUAUACUCGUCAAGAUGUCGAUAAAUGGCCUACAUUGGUUGAGAUGGCGCAAUAUUUUGUUCGAUACUUUCAAUGCAAAUCCAAUGUUACCCCAGACCGCGCUUCCCUAUAUAAAAUGAAAAAGAAGCCAUAGGAGAGCUUUAAGGAGUUUGGGCUCAGAUGGAGGAUACAAGCUGCUCAAGUCAGUACCUCGAUUGGUGAAAAGGAAAUGGUUGAGCUUUUCCUACAAGCCCAGGAGCCACCUACUUCGGUAAUUUGAUCCAGGCUUUUGGAAAAUAUUUCAAUGAGGUGUUAAAAAUGGGGGAGCAAAUAGAAGAGGGAAUCAAGUCAGGAAAAAUCAUGAGUGGUUCGAAAGAUAUUCAGAACAUCCAUGUAAGCUUCGGCGGAAGAAAGAGAAAUAGAAAAGAUGAUCAACAUUUCCAGCCUCAACAUCAUCCUCGUGGACAUCCUUGUGUACCAGAUAGUCCUCCAUAACGCUGCUUCUCCCCACAUAACUCAAAAAAUCAUACAUCACUUUCCCCAUACCCAGCUCUACAGAAUGCUUAUCCACCCCCAUGAGCAUACCGAAAACCUCUUGGAUCAGGUUUCCAGCCCAGCCAAGCAUGUAAGAAUGAGAGACUAUUGAAAAAAGAAAAGGCUUUCACCCCUAUCGGAGUAUCAUAUGCCAGUUUGUUCCAAAGGUUGAAGCAAUUGGACAUGUUGAAGCCGACUCAGAUAAAAAUGCCAAACCCUCUGUCAAAGAAGUUUGAUGUUUCUCAAAGGUGUGCAUAUUGCUUAGAUUCCCCGGGGCAUGACACAAAGAAGUGCUGGUAUGUUUCCCAAAGGUGCACGUAUUGCUCAGAUGCCCCGGGACAUUACAUAGAGAAGUGCUGGAGUCUAAAAAUAGCAAUUCACAAGCUUAUUGAUGCAGGUGACAUUGUCGUGCAAAAUUCGGACGCAGCAGACACUAGCAAAAGUCCAUCGCAUGUGCGUAUUGAGAUGCACAUGCUGGAAUAUGAGAAUUCUUUCGAGAGCCCCGGAGGCACGAGUGCUGCUAAGCUUUCAGCCCUAUCAAAUGUUGGUCUUCAGAACGAGCCGGCGAAAGGAAUCCAAAAGCAAUCUCCUAAGAACACUGUGACGAAGGUUUGUGAAGUGCCUAAUGUUAUGGAACCCAAUGGCUAAUAUGUUGUAAUGAGUAAUUGGGAAGACACUCCAUUUCUUGGUCAGCUAGAGAGGAGUUUUGAUGGUUUAUUUUGUUGUCAGGGUUAUUUUCAGGGUUGUAAUCUGGAUAUUGUCUUGUGAUUCAAAUCCUUCUAUCCUAUCAUUUUUCUCAGUUUUGUUUAGUGUCGUCUAGGUUCGUUCCAGGGUGUUAACCCCAAUCUUUUUACUUGUUUAUUGUCCAAGCUCUUUCACCAUCUGUCUAACAUAAUUUUCUACUUUCCGUUAUUUCUAGUCAUUUGGUUUAGUUUUCUUUUCUUUUUACAAUUCUUGUAAUUCUCUACUUUCCUAUAUUUCUAGUCAUUUGGUGUAGUUUUCUUUUCUUUUACAAUUCUUUUCCUCGUUGGCUUUAAUGACAUGACAUGUAUGCAUAACUCCAGGCCUGGUCUUAAAAGAUUACUCAUAUGGCAAUAGAGACACUUGAGGGAAAUAAGAACAUAUUUGGACCCUUUGGGAUCUUUUGAAGCCCGAACCAUGUGAAACAGGGGCAAACAGAACAUGAAUAAAUCCUAAAAGCAAGUUUACCAAACCGGUAGGGACCAUUUGUUGUAGCUGGAGUGUUGUCCAAUGGUGCAUUAUAUUUGACAGAUGAGGAAGGAAAAUGUGUAGGAAUGGCUAUCAAUUCUGACAUAGUCGUGAGAUACUAUGUAUGAUUCCGUUGACUGAUUGUACUUGCUUGUCUUGGCAUAUUUUUAAAAUUGAAAUGACGAAGACAUUUUAUUCUGCUAUCUUAAUAAUCUAUCCCUUGAUAACCUUUUUGAGCUUUAGUUAUUUCCUUUCACACCCCUCUUUCGGAAUCAGUAACAAAAGUCAGAAACGCAAGUGUGAGAAGGCAGUAAAACGAAAGAAAAGGAAAGAACGAAAAAAGAAAAAGGAAAAAGAAAAAAAAGAAAAAGAGAAAAAGGAAAAACAAGAAAAAAAAGAGAAAAACAAAGAGAAAAGAGAAAAGGAAAAAGAAAGAAAGAAAAAAGAAAACAAAACAAAGAAAAAAGAGAGAAGAAAACAGAAAAAGGGAGAAGAAAAACAACAACAAAAACAAGGAAUCGGUAUGAACUACGUUUGACCUGAUUCCUUUUAAGGAUACGUGGGCAGCCUCACGGUUCGGUCUCAUCAAAACAAAAAUCCAAAAGUCCCUAAGCAAGAAAUUGGGGGUAGAAGUUGUGGUUCUUGUAAGAAUUUGAUCCGAAAGUUGUAGUUUUGACCCCAUUUAAAUUGUUUUGAGCCUUUGAUACCCUUUAUUUCUAACCCUAGCCAAAAGCCCACGUUACUGUCCAAAGAAAGACCUUCUGAUAAGUCUUCAAGAGAUUCCAAGUUGAGCAAGUAGAGGUGAUUCAUGUCAAGGGCAACACUUCGAUCCAAUCAGGAAAGAUAAUAAAAAUGAGUAAGUCUUAUUGGUGAAAACCCUCAUGGGCAUCGUAAGGCGACGGGAGCUGAGAGAAAUAAAAAUGAGAGAGUCUUAUUGGUGAAAAUAUGCACGGGAACCUUGAGGCGACUGUAAGUCAAGAGAAAGAACAAAGUAAGAGAUGUUUUAUGGUGAAAACCAUUUGGGUGCUACAAGUCAAAUAAGGAUUGUGAAUCAGAUUGGAUAAUCGGAGCACUGAAGCCCAGCUUCACGGUCUGGGGGGUAUAACAAGAGUUGAACAUCACAUUUGCUUAACGGAAUAGGCCGUAGGUGUAUGUCAUGGUCAUUAGAGUUGGUACCCGCAUUUUAUAGGUUUCUGCUUUUUAGUUUUUUGGUUAGGAAUCAUCUCCUUUCAUUGUCCUCUACUUUGUUCUUUUUGUCUUGUUUAUUCCCUCCUUUUGAGUCUGUUGGGUCAAAACAAGUGAGAAAUAACUACAAAAUCUGCCACCAACUUUCUAAUUGCACAAAACAGGAUCUGGUUAUCACAUCCAAGUGUCAUAAGUUAGAAAAACAUCAAGCACACUAGCGGGUAACAUUCAACAUGCUUCAGGAUUCGUUUGAAAUACAAAGGCUUGGUAUAUAUCAAUUCAUGGACAAUGAAAUAGAAUGAGGGAUAGGGUGAACGGAGCAAAAGUGCUCCAAGAAGAAAUUGAAGUUAUCAUGGCUAGUGAUGGAAUAGUAGACCUCAAGGUCGGAGCUAGUGAUUUGAGUCAGGAAGAAUGUCAUAUACAAUGUGGUUGGUAAUUAUGCUUUAGGGAUCAAGUGAAACACAAGGGCUUGGCAGAUGUCGGUUCAGGAACAAUGCAACAGAUGGAAGGUAUUGGGUUCGAACGAGAAUAGGUAUUUUCUGGGUUAAGUUUAACAAACAAAGCGGUUGGUCAAGGGGCAAAUAUGGUCUUUAAAUGAAAAUAAAUCAUCAUGACAAGUGAAGGAGCAACAGACCUCAAGGUCAAGGCCAGUGGUUCAAGUCAAUAAAAAAAAUAGGUAUUUUCUGGGUUAAGUUUUACAAACAAAGCGGUUGGUCAAGGGGCAAAUAUGGUCUUUAAAUGAAAAUAAAUCAUCAUGACAAGUGAAGGAGCAACAGACCUCAAGGUCAAGGCCAGUGGUUCAAGUCAAUAAAAAAACAGAAUACACAUGGAGUGGGGGCAAGGGACGUGCUUUAGGAUUCAUGUGGGAAACAAAGGCUGAGAUGACGGCAGAUGUCGGUUCAGGAACAAUGCAACAGAUGGAAGGUAUUGGGUUCGAACGAGAAUAGGUAUUUUCUGGGUUAAGUUUUACAAACAAAGCGGUUGGUCAAGGGGCAAAUAUGGUCUUUAAAUGAAAAUAAAUCAUCAUGACAAGUGAAGGAGCAACAGACCUCAAGGUCAAGGCCAGUGGUUCAAGUCAAUAAAAAAAAUAGCAUACACAUGGAGUGGGGGCAAGGGACGUGCUUUAGGAUUUAUGUGGGAAACAAAGGCUGGGAAGAUGUCAGUUCAUCAGCAAUGCAACAAAUAGAGGAUAUUGGGUCUGAACGGAGAAGAGGUAUUUUCUGUGAUAAGGGUGACAGAGGAGUUGGUCAGCUAAUAAGCAAGCCAUGUCUUUUAAGGUGAAAUCAAACCUACCAUGGCAAGUGAAAAAACGCAACACGAGAAUGGGGAAGGUCGCAAGGGUCAGCCAAGCAUCGUAAACUGGCCAGGUAACUUCAAGAAAGAAUGUAAGAAUUUUAACAAAGGGUCGCAAAUGCAACACAAAGAUGAGGAGCAGAGUGAAGGUACAUGGGUCAGAGGGUCAGCCAAGCAUAAUAUAUUGACUUGGCAAUCACGAGAAAGGUGCAAGGAUUCUGGCAAAAGGGCUAGAAUGUAACACAAUUAUGGGGAGCAAAGUAAAGCCGUAAAGGUUAGAGGUGUCAGCCAACCAACUCAGGCAACUCAUCAUCGAUAUGGAAAUAUAAACACAAUGGAACAUGACAAUGAGGAGGUUGCUUACAACAAGAAUACCGCAAGCCAACCACCACUUUUCAAACUUACAAGUUUUCUUUGAUUGACACAGGUGUAGAAAAUUUUGGAAGAGCCUAAGGGAGGCCGUCCACAGGAGAAGGCAGGCACACGGUAGGUAUGAUCAAAAUCUCAGAACCCACCUAGAAGUGGCACUCAGUUAAAAUUCCAAAGGGACAUAGUCCGUUAUAAACACCCUCCCUAACAAAGAGCACAAUGUGACAAACUUUAACUAGCAAACCCCAAUAGAAACAACCGAGGUUUAAGAGAGGCAUAGAAGUUGAGAUGGAACGCAGUCUAAAACUCAAAGCGGUAUGAGUAACAUGGGCAAGCACCAACACCUCCCCAGUAAGAGUCGCAGAAGCAACCAGAAAUUAGAACUGGCAUUUAGGUUGGAACCUUCAUGAGCCUCGUGGAGAAUGAGACUCAUUUUAAGGCUAGGAGUAAUCAUGGAUAACAAGUGACAUAAAAUGACUUGCACGUCGAGGUAGGAUUCAGUUAGAGUUUUCAGUAUCCUCCUGAAAAUGGGACUUAACUUAGAACAACAAACAGUUGGAUGGAAUGGUCAAACCCAAAUACUUCCUCAACCAGAGUCAACAAGAGUCAUCAGAACCCUCCUGAAAAUUGGGACUUAGAUUAGAUAUUUUCCCAACAAGAGUCGAUAAGAAUUGUCGGGACCUUCCUGAAAAAUGGGACUUAAGAGCCAAAAUCUUCCCAUUCAGAGUCAACAAGAGUCAAUAAGAGUCAUCAGGACCCUCCUGCAAAAUGGGAUUUAGAGGGAAAAUUUCAAAUUUCCCCAGCUGAGUCAGCAAGAGUCAUCAGGACCCCUCCAGAAAAUGGGACAUAGAUUAGAUACUUCCCCAGCAAGAGUCAAUAAAAGUCAUCAAGACCCUCCUAAAAUGGGAUUCAAAGGGAAAAUUUCAAAUUUCCCCAACUGAGUGGGAUGUAGCCCUAAAUUCUAACCCCCAGUUGUCACCUUUUUGUCAUCAAAUUAGGAGUUGUCAGGACCUGCUUAGAUAAUGGUGAGGUAGUUUUAAUCAUUAGUCACCAGCAAAUCCCCAGCAUAUAGAACUCAUAGCAAUACAUGGAGGAAAAUAAUACCUCUUCAGAAACACAGCAUAGUCUUGAAAUUGUCAGCAAUUGAGAAUUGUCAGGACCAGUCUUGGUAAUCAGGCGCCCACCUGUAGAACAAGAGAUUAUUUUUCAAAAUUUCAGAUUUUGUAAUCAGGAAUCCACCUGUAGAACAAGGGAAUAUUUUUCAACUGUCAAGUGUUGAUAAUCAAGCACCCACCUGGAGAAAAAUGGAAAACAAUUCGAGUUCAGCAAUCAGGCACGCACCUGGAGAACGAGGGAAUAUUUCUCGGAAAUCAAGUUUUGAUGAUCAGGCGCCCACCUGUAGAACAAGGGAAUAUUUUUCAAAAUCCAAGUUUUGAUGAUCAGGCGCCCACCUGUAGAACAAGGGAAUAUUUUUCAAAAUCCUAGUUUUGUAAUCAGGCGCCCACCUGUAGAACAAGGAAAUAUUUUUCAAAUUUUCAAGUUUUGGUAAUCAGUAGCCCAUCUGUAGAACAAGGGAAUAAUUUUCAAAUUUCAAGUUUUAGUAAUCAGGCGUCCACCUGUAGAACAAGGAAAUAUUUUUUAAAAAAUUCAAGUUGUUGAUAAUCAGGCGCCCACCUGUAGAACAACGAAAUAUUGUUCAAAACUUCAAGUUUAGUAAUAAGGCGUCCACCUGUAGAAUAAGGGAAUAUUAUUAAAAAAUUUCAAGCUUUUGUAAUCAGGCGCCCACCUGUAAAACAAGGGAAUAUUUUUCAAGAUUUCAGAUUUUGUAAUCAGGUGCUCACUCAAGUGUCAAGUGUUGAUAAUCAGGCACCCACCUGGAGAACAAGGGAACACAAUUCGAGUUCAAAAAUCAGGCACCCACCUGGAGAACGAGGGAAUAUUUCUCGGAAGUCAAGUUUUGUUGAUCGGAUGCCCACCCACAGAACAAGGGAAGAUCUUUCGAAUUGCGAGUCCAGGAAACCAGGCGCCCACCUGUAGAACGAGGGAAUGCUUUCAACGGAGUACAUCUUAAGACAAAAAAUUCGACAUCAAACAUAGAGGAAGAGAAAUGCCAGACAACAAGGCAACAAGAAGUUCCACAGUAAGAAAUGCGAGACAACAAGGCAACAAGGAUUCAGAGCAAGUCGGAAAAUAUAGAUAGGUUUUCUUGUAAUCCAUAGUUCAUAGCUUAGUCUAGCUUCUUUAUUUUUCACAGAUUUAGAGCAAGUCGGAAGAUAUAGAUAGGUUUUCUUGUAAUCUAUAGUUCAUAGCUUAGUCUAGCUUCUAUUUUUUUUAUAAUGGUGUAAUUAGGGGGUCUAGCAGCAGUUAUAGCAGCAGCAACGGUAAAAUCACAGCCUCGGUAGUCGCAGCUACCAAACACUCCUGAACUACACUGACCUGAUUCCUCUUCAGCCGAGGAUAUGUAGGCAACCUCUGAAGUAGGAUGCGGUCAAACUUUUCAAAAAUGCUUCUCAUGGAAGGUUCAAACAGGCAAAAAUCGCUCGUGUUUGCUCACUUAUCUUUGCAGAAAGCUCUUCGUGUUUCCGCGCAAAGAGGGGCAGCUGUGAGCAUGUGAUUUUUGCCCUAUACGAAUUACUCCCAUAAAUUCAAAACGAAAUAAUUUUGUUUGUUUAUUUGCAAUUUUGAUUUUUCGUGGCAUUAUUCUGUUAAUGGUUUGCAUUUUGUGCAUAGCAAAAAUACAAAAAUACAUGAGGCAUGUGCACUUAGGAGUAAUUUUACAUUUUUUUUAAAGAAAUAAAUUAGCAAUUGGGAAAGGAAAUUCAAAAAUGGCUUAAUUUGCACAUAAGAUCGAUUUCAGGUAAUUCUUUUUCUCUUAAUCUUUUUUUAUUAUUUAUUAUGUGAUAACAAUUAUUGUAUGACUAACUAGGUUUUUAGGUUAAUUAGGAAUUUUUAGGUUUUAAAUAAUUUUAAAAAAAAUUAAAAAGCGGAGGGAAAAUGUGGAACUAAAUAAAAAGGACCUAAUUGGGCCAUAUGCACAAUUAAAUCUGCCCAAGCCAUUUUCUCCUUCUAAAAUCCACCAGACCCACACCCAAUGACCCGACCCGACCCGACCCGACCAUGUCUCUAUACCUACACAUACAUAACCCAAAACUCACAGAACCCCUAAAAAACGCGACUGUUCUUUUUGUCCGAAGAACACGCGAAUCUAGCCCCAAAUUCUGUUCAAAUCCGAGCGAGUGAAGCCCAAAUCUGUAAUUCACACGUCCAUCAUUCUCUCAUCUCACCAUUACUAACGAUUUCUGACACUAAAAAUGCUUCCUCCCUUCACUCUCUCAACUCAGAGAUUUAGCACGCGAUUUGAAGGUCCUAGAGACGAAUCGUUGGAUGAGGAUGAGUCAUUGGAUUGAAUUUGUUCAAUCCAAGCCCCAUUUUCAUCAGGGGUUCAUCUCUAUAAAGGACGGGAUCCGAUUUUGAGAAGGGGGUCGUUUUUGGAGAGGAGAGGAUCUGAAGGCAGAUUCAAGAGGAGUAAAAUUCUAGAGCUUAGUGUUCUUCACAUCUAUUAUUGCUUUUUUUCUUCAUUCGUAGUGUUAAUUCUAAAAAAACAUAUACAGAAAUGUUUAAAGUCCUGUGAAUCUAUUGUUGCUUGGUUCACUGUCCACCCGCUUCGAAAUAAAUGAAUUACGUCCUCAAAGUCAUUGGAAUUCGUUGUUGAUCGAGGCAUCGAUUUGUGGCUGCUGUUGCAUUGCAUCGAUUUCAAGUGUUGGGACUCCUUCACUUUUUUUCAGGUUUACCUCCGCUUCUUCUAUUAUUUCUAUUGUGAAGUGAAACCUGGAUGGCCCUGGACGGAUUGUUAACUUUUUUUUUCAUUCGUAGUGUUAAUUAUAAAAAAACAUAUAUACAAAUGUUUAAAGUCCUGUGACUCUAUUGUUGCUUGGUUCACUAUCCACCCGCUUCGAAAUACAUGAACUCCGUCCUCAAAGUUAUUGGAAUUCGUUGUUGAUCGAGGCAUCGAUUUGUGGCUGAUGUUGCAUUGCAUCGAUUUCAAGUGUUGGGACUCCUUCACAUUUUUUUCCAGGUUUACCUUUGCUUCUUCUAUUAUUUCUAUUGUGAAGUGAUUCUUGGAUGGCCCUGGACGGAUUAUUAAAAUGAAUUCAGUUGUGAUAAUAGACGAGGCUUGUAUGGUUACCCUCGACUUCAUUUGUUGUUAUGCUUUCAACGUUCUCCAUGAAUUCAUGUGUAGUGAGUCAGUUUCUGAAUAGAUGAGGAGUAAAAUUUGUUUGGUUUCAACAUCGUCUUCGUGUUUGUACUGACUUUGAAGAUUGUUUUAGUAUCAUCGUUCAGCUCAUACCUGCUUCGAAUUUGAUCCCCUACUAAUGUUGCAAAUUGGGUAGAUUGUAGCUUUAUAUAGUGUCA
RNAcentral lists this long non-coding RNA (30517 nucleotides) under Nicotiana benthamiana. Its description in RNAcentral is "long non-coding RNA (NBEN_LNC010165)". The stretch from base 13435 to 13505 matches the Rfam family "MIR6151 microRNA precursor family". The record is from RNAcentral. Lineage: Eukaryota; Viridiplantae; Streptophyta; Magnoliopsida; Solanales; Solanaceae.